RNAcentral lists this ribosomal RNA (835 nucleotides) under Acinetobacter lactucae. RNAcentral describes it as "bacterial SSU rRNA". It matches the Rfam family "Bacterial small subunit ribosomal RNA", at positions 235 to 1061 of the family's 1533-position model. The record is from RNAcentral. Lineage: Bacteria; Pseudomonadati; Pseudomonadota; Gammaproteobacteria; Moraxellales; Moraxellaceae.
GUCGGAUUAGCUAGUUGGUGGGUAAAAGGCCUACCAAGGCGACGAUCUGUAGCGGGUCUGAGAGGAUGAUCCGCCACACUGGGACUGAGACACGGCCCAGACUCCUACGGGAGGCAGCAGUGGGGAAUAUUGGACAAUGGGCGCAAGCCUGAUCCAGCCAUGCCGCGUGUGUGAAGAAGGCCUUAUGGUUGUAAAGCACUUUAAGCGAGGAGGAGGCUACUUUAGAUAAUACCUAGAGAUAGUGGACGUUACUCGCAGAAUAAGCACCGGCUAACUCUGUGCCAGCAGCCGCGGUAAUACAGAGGGUGCAAGCGUUAAUCGGAUUUACUGGGCGUAAAGCGCGCGUAGGCGGCUAAUUAAGUCAAAUGUGAAAUCCCCGAGCUUAACUUGGGAAUUGCAUUCGAUACUGGUUAGCUAGAGUGUGGGAGAGGAUGGUAGAAUUCCAGGUGUAGCGGUGAAAUGCGUAGAGAUCUGGAGGAAUACCGAUGGCGAAGGCAGCCAUCUGGCCUAACACUGACGCUGAGGUGCGAAAGCAUGGGGAGCAAACAGGAUUAGAUACCCUGGUAGUCCAUGCCGUAAACGAUGUCUACUAGCCGUUGGGGCCUUUGAGGCUUUAGUGGCGCAGCUAACGCGAUAAGUAGACCGCCUGGGGAGUACGGUCGCAAGACUAAAACUCAAAUGAAUUGACGGGGGCCCGCACAAGCGGUGGAGCAUGUGGUUUAAUUCGAUGCAACGCGAAGAACCUUACCUGGCCUUGACAUAGUAAGAACUUUCCAGAGAUGGAUUGGUGCCUUCGGGAACUUACAUACAGGUGCUGCAUGGCUGUCGUCAGCUC